RNAcentral lists this ribosomal RNA (459 nucleotides) under uncultured bacterium. RNAcentral's name for it is "partial 16S ribosomal RNA". It matches the Rfam family "Bacterial small subunit ribosomal RNA", at positions 29 to 523 of the family's 1533-position model. The record is from RNAcentral.
AACGAACGCUGGCGGCAGGCUUAACACAUGCAAGUCGAACGCGAAAUCACCUUCGGGUGGUGGAGAGUGGCAGACGGGUGAGUAACGCGUGGGAACCUACCUAGUGGUCCGGAAUAACUCAGGGAAACUUGGGCUAAUACCGUAUGUGCCCGAAAGGGGAAAGAUUCAUCGCCACUAGAUGGGCCCGCGUCGGAUUAGCUUGUUGGUGAGGUAACGGCUCACCAAGGCGACGAUCCGUAGCUGGUCUGAGAGGAUGCUCAGCCACACUGGGACUGAGACACGGCCCAGACUCCUACGGGAGGCAGCAGUGGGGAAUAUUGGACAAUGGGCGCAAGCCUGAUCCAGCCAUGCCGCGUGAGUGAUGAAGGCCCUAGGGUUGUAAAGCUCUUUCGGCGGGGACGAUAAUGACGGUACCCGCAGAAGAAGCCCCGGCUAACUUCGUGCCAGCCGCCGCGGUAA